UUUGUAACAUUUUAUUUUUUGUCAAUAUACAGAUGAUAACGGUCUCUAUAGAACUUUCAGAGUCAUGUCUCACUAAUGAAAGUUCUAAACUUAUACAAUAAAACCAUGUAACAGGUGAAAGGAUCAUAAUAUAUCACUAAUAAUAGGUAUGGAUGUUAUACUCUCCAAACAUAACAAAUAGGAACAAAAGGAGAUGUGGGGGAAACUCGAAAACUUCACAGCAAAUAAAUCAAUUUAAGGGUUUCAAUUAAUGUAAUUUGAGUUUAAUUUAUUUUUGUUAGCUAUAAUGUUUUAGAGCUAUUCACACAAAUUCAACUUGUUAAAACUAUCUUAAGUCUUAAAAAAUAAUUGUUCAGCUUUUUCAAACUCAUACUUUUUUCAUUAGACUGGGUUGUUCCAUGUUCAAACUUGGUUAAACAAUUUUAAAAGUCUGCCAUCAAACAUGGUGGCAAAACGAAAUAACUCACAAAUCAAAUUACAUAAAUGGAAAACAAUGUGUUUUGCUUUACUGGAGUUUUUUUAACUGGUAUAACUUAAUCGUUUUAAAAGAGGGAGGGACUUUGAAAUCAGACCAAUUUUAGAAAUUCAACCACCAUGCCGAUCAAUCAUGUUCUCUACUUACUUUCUUAUAUGACAUAUUGACCAAUGAGAAAUUCCAAUUACAACUACACUUUUGAAUUAGUCCAUCAUUAUAAAACAUGUUUGCAAAAUUCAUUUGAUAAUGACAAAUAUUUUCUGGCAUCAACUUCAAGUUGAAUUUUUCUGUGUAAUCUUGAUUUCCUCAGUAAUAUAUAUGUUUUUAUUUGUAACCGUCAAAUCAAAGACUGAUGCCACCAUGAACUUGCAUAUAAUACAAUUAUUUCCUAAUUAAUACACACAUAAAAUAUAUACAUCUUUUUAAUUGUAAAUGCAUAGUGACAGUAAUAUGAGAAAAUACUGUAUAGGUGUUGUACUUUUAUAAUAAGCAAUAAAAAAACAAUAAAAAAUGAUACACAUGCAUAUUUUCUAAAAUUAAGCUUAGUAACAUGAGAAGUUAUAUAGUGAUAACUUGAUUUUUUAUCUUGGCAGACUAGUUGAGUGAUAAGAUACAUAAUGAAUUUGAAAAAUUACAAUGAAGAAUCUAAUGAAAGCUUCAAUGAGUUGAGCUUUUUGCAUACAUUUGACAUGAAAAUGAAUCAACAUCAAUUAAGAUAUAUUAUACAUAUUAAUACAUUUAAACAUUUUUUUUAUAUUUCAAGUACAAAUGUAUUAAAGUAUAUAAAUUUGCUGUAACUGUAAAUGGAUCAUAUUCACAGAGUUUAAAUUCAUUAUUUCUAUAAUUGGAGGUUUUCUGGUAAUCCAUGAUAGGGAUCAUCUUAAAAUAUCAAAUUUAAAUGAUGAGACAUUUUUCAUGAUUUUAUCCCAUUAUCAAAAUCUUUAAAUUUUUACCCACUUUUCAGUAUACAUAUGCAUAAGGUGAUUCAGGUGUCUGGAUGAUUUUAAGUUUAUGCUGAGAUUUUAUUUAUGUAAACCUCAAUUCCUAUAUUUUUGUUUACUGUAAGUUUGUUCAUUUAGUAAAAUAAUAAUAACAUAAUAAGAAACAAUCAUACUGUAAUUAAUACUUUUGCUGAUAAAGUGAAAGUUAUCUUUGUUUAUACAUGUUAUAUGAUAUUACCAAUAGAAAAUAUGCAAAAAAACAAUUUAAUAAACAUCUGUGCAAAAUAAAUCAAUAUCAAAUUAUGAAAUAGUUAACGUCUUACAUUUAGGAGAUAACUGUAUUGUAUUUUAAGCUCCGACGGCAUCAAUUGGGGAUUUGAUGGCUGCAAAUUAAGUUUACUGGCGAUGCGUUAGCAAAAUUGUUAUCCCAAAUUGAUGCCAUCGGAGCUUAAAAUACAAUAUUGUUAUCUCCAUUCUAAUUAAACUGACAGAAAACAACGUUAAAACAUGUAUUUAAAAUCUUUCAUAUGCCGUCUGCGCUUGCGCGUACGUCCCAUAGCAUCAAUUGUCAAUUGAUGCCAUGUAAGAAAGUGACGUUUUCCAAUCAAAAUGAACGUUACAAACGUUGUUGCAUUAGAAUUCAUGAUGACAGUCUGUUUUAUAAAUGCUUCAAAUAAGAAUUUUGUUUUAACCUAUGUAACAUGCAUAACAAAAUAUUGAUGGUUACUAUUCAAAUAUCAUUAAAUAACAUUAUGACAAAAAAAAACAAUUUACUGAAAUCAGGUUUCCCUCCAUACAAUGUACCUUACAGUGUUAAAUACUGAAGACCAUAACACUCCCUUGAAGUGAAAUGGAUGCUCCAUUAUAACAUCCUUAAGAGGUUUAUAGAAUAUAAGCUUGUCUGUCAUCAGUAUUCAUACUUUUGAAUUUUGACUUGCAUACAUGUAUAGGCAUCAGGGCUUAUAUAUUAUUCAACAUUUUGAGAUUUUAUUUUUAAAAUUCAAAAGCUUUACCCGUAAAGAUAUUUUUCUACAAAAUGUAUUUACUUCAGAAGUAAAUGUGUAGAAAAAAAGUCUUCUUGGGCAAUGUCCU
RNAcentral lists this long non-coding RNA (2508 nucleotides) under Mytilus galloprovincialis (Mediterranean mussel). Lineage: Eukaryota; Metazoa; Mollusca; Bivalvia; Mytilida; Mytilidae. The record is from RNAcentral.